GGGUUGUGAGGUUAAGCGACUAAGCGUACACGGUGGAUGCCCUGGCAGUCAGAGGCGAUGAAGGACGUGCUAAUCUGCGAUAAGCGUCGGUAAGGUGAUAUGAACCGUUAUAACCGGCGAUUUCCGAAUGGGGAAACCCAGUGUGUUUCGACACACUAUCAUUAACUGAAUCCAUAGGUUAAUGAGGCGAACCGGGGGAACUGAAACAUCUAAGUACCCCGAGGAAAAGAAAUCAACCGAGAUUCCCCCAGUAGCGGCGAGCGAACGGGGAGGAGCCCAGAGCCUGAAUCAGUGUGUGUGUUAGUGGAAGCGUCUGGAAAGGCGCGCGAUACAGGGUGACAGCCCCGUACACAAAAAUGCACAUAUUGUGAGCUCGAUGAGUAGGGCGGGACACGUGGUAUCCUGUCUGAAUAUGGGGGGACCAUCCUCCAAGGCUAAAUACUCCUGACUGACCGAUAGUGAACCAGUACCGUGAGGGAAAGGCGAAAAGAACCCCGGCGAGGGGAGUGAAAAAGAACCUGAAACCGUGUACGUACAAGCAGUGGGAGCCUCUUUAUGGGGUGACUGCGUACCUUUUGUAUAAUGGGUCAGCGACUUAUAUUCUGUAGCAAGGUUAACCGAAUAGGGGAGCCGAAGGGAAACCGAGUCUUAACUGGGCGUUAAGUUGCAGGGUAUAGACCCGAAACCCGGUGAUCUAGCCAUGGGCAGGUUGAAGGUUGGGUAACACUAACUGGAGGACCGAACCGACUAAUGUUGAAAAAUUAGCGGAUGACUUGUGGCUGGGGGUGAAAGGCCAAUCAAACCGGGAGAUAGCUGGUUCUCCCCGAAAGCUAUUUAGGUAGCGCCUCGUGAAUUCAUCUCCGGGGGUAGAGCACUGUUUCGGCAAGGGGGUCAUCCCGACUUACCAACCCGAUGCAAACUGCGAAUACCGGAGAAUGUUAUCACGGGAGACACACGGCGGGUGCUAACGUCCGUCGUGAAGAGGGAAACAACCCAGACCGCCAGCUAAGGUCCCAAAGUCAUGGUUAAGUGGGAAACGAUGUGGGAAGGCCCAGACAGCCAGGAUGUUGGCUUAGAAGCAGCCAUCAUUUAAAGAAAGCGUAAUAGCUCACUGGUCGAGUCGGCCUGCGCGGAAGAUGUAACGGGGCUAAACCAUGCACCGAAGCUGCGGCAGCGACGCUUAUGCGUUGUUGGGUAGGGGAGCGUUCUGUAAGCCUGCGAAGGUGUGCUGUGAGGCAUGCUGGAGGUAUCAGAAGUGCGAAUGCUGACAUAAGUAACGAUAAAGCGGGUGAAAAGCCCGCUCGCCGGAAGACCAAGGGUUCCUGUCCAACGUUAAUCGGGGCAGGGUGAGUCGACCCCUAAGGCGAGGCCGAAAGGCGUAGUCGAUGGGAAACAGGUUAAUAUUCCUGUACUUGGUGUUACUGCGAAGGGGGGACGGAGAAGGCUAUGUUGGCCGGGCGACGGUUGUCCCGGUUUAAGCGUGUAGGCUGGUUUUCCAGGCAAAUCCGGAAAAUCAAGGCUGAGGCGUGAUGACGAGGCACUACGGUGCUGAAGCAACAAAUGCCCUGCUUCCAGGAAAAGCCUCUAAGCAUCAGGUAACAUCAAAUCGUACCCCAAACCGACACAGGUGGUCAGGUAGAGAAUACCAAGGCGCUUGAGAGAACUCGGGUGAAGGAACUAGGCAAAAUGGUGCCGUAACUUCGGGAGAAGGCACGCUGAUAUGUAGGUGAAGCGACUUGCUCGUGGAGCUGAAAUCAGUCGAAGAUACCAGCUGGCUGCAACUGUUUAUUAAAAACACAGCACUGUGCAAACACGAAAGUGGACGUAUACGGUGUGACGCCUGCCCGGUGCCGGAAGGUUAAUUGAUGGGGUCAGCGCAAGCGAAGCUCUUGAUCGAAGCCCCGGUAAACGGCGGCCGUAACUAUAACGGUCCUAAGGUAGCGAAAUUCCUUGUCGGGUAAGUUCCGACCUGCACGAAUGGCGUAAUGAUGGCCAGGCUGUCUCCACCCGAGACUCAGUGAAAUUGAACUCGCUGUGAAGAUGCAGUGUACCCGCGGCAAGACGGAAAGACCCCGUGAACCUUUACUAUAGCUUGACACUGAACAUUGAGCCUUGAUGUGUAGGAUAGGUGGGAGGCUUGGAAGUGUGGACGCCAGUCUGCAUGGAGCCGACCUUGAAAUACCACCCUUUAAUGUUUGAUGUUCUAACGUGGACCCGUAAUCCGGGUUGCGGACAGUGUCUGGUGGGUAGUUUGACUGGGGCGGUCUCCUCCUAAAGAGUAACGGAGGAGCACGAAGGUUGGCUAAUCCUGGUCGGACAUCAGGAGGUUAGUGCAAUGGCAUAAGCCAGCUUGACUGCGAGCGUGACGGCGCGAGCAGGUGCGAAAGCAGGUCAUAGUGAUCCGGUGGUUCUGAAUGGAAGGGCCAUCGCUCAACGGAUAAAAGGUACUCCGGGGAUAACAGGCUGAUACCGCCCAAGAGUUCAUAUCGACGGCGGUGUUUGGCACCUCGAUGUCGGCUCAUCACAUCCUGGGGCUGAAGUAGGUCCCAAGGGUAUGGCUGUUCGCCAUUUAAAGUGGUACGCGAGCUGGGUUUAGAACGUCGUGAGACAGUUCGGUCCCUAUCUGCCGUGGGCGCUGGAGAACUGAGGGGGGCUGCUCCUAGUACGAGAGGACCGGAGUGGACGCAUCACUGGUGUUCGGGUUGUCAUGCCAAUGGCACUGCCCGGUAGCUAAAUGCGGAAGAGAUAAGUGCUGAAAGCAUCUAAGCACGAAACUUGCCCCGAGAUGAGUUCUCCCUGACCCUUUAAGGGUCCUGAAGGAACGUUGAAGACGACGACGUUGAUAGGCCGGGUGUGUAAGCGCAGCGAUGCGUUGAGCUAACCGGUACUAAUGAACCGUGAGGCUUAACCUUACAACGCCGAAGCUGUU
This 2929-nucleotide ribosomal RNA is filed under the name Escherichia coli. Its description in RNAcentral is "23S ribosomal RNA". It matches the Rfam family "Bacterial large subunit ribosomal RNA". Lineage: Bacteria; Pseudomonadati; Pseudomonadota; Gammaproteobacteria; Enterobacterales; Enterobacteriaceae. The record is from RNAcentral.